Molecule: ribosomal RNA, 468 nt
Filed under: uncultured bacterium
Lineage: Bacteria
Description: partial 16S ribosomal RNA
Rfam family: Bacterial small subunit ribosomal RNA
Source: RNAcentral
GACGAACGCUGGCGGCGUGCUUAACACAUGCAAGUCGAACGGAAAGGCCCUGCUUUUGUGGGGUGCUCGAGUGGCGAACGGGUGAGUAACACGUGAGUAACCUGCCCUUGACUUUGGGAUAACUUCAGGAAACUGGGGCUAAUACCGGAUAGGAGCUCCUGCUGCAUGGUGGGGGUUGGAAAGUUUCGGCGGUUGGGGAUGGACUCGCGGCUUAUCAGCUUGUUGGUGGGGUAGUGGCUUACCAAGGCUUUGACGGGUAGCCGGCCUGAGAGGGUGACCGGCCACAUUGGGACUGAGAUACGGCCCAGACUCCUACGGGAGGCAGCAGCGGGGAAUAUUGCACAAUGGGCGGAAGCCUGAUGCAGCAACGCCGCGUGCGGGAUGAAGGCCUUCGGGUUGUAAACCGCUUUCGCCUGUGACGAAGCGUGAGUGACGGUAAUGGGUAAAGAAGCACCGGCUAACUACGUG